Long non-coding RNA from Magallana angulata, 1041 nucleotides. RefSeq lists it as uncharacterized. The transcript is spliced from 2 exons. Lineage: Eukaryota; Metazoa; Mollusca; Bivalvia; Ostreida; Ostreidae. The record is from RefSeq and is a predicted model, not a curated record.
CUAAACAUUAUUAAGAAUUUACAUUUACUUCAUCCUUCGAUAUUUAUACCCGUUUUAUCUGGUUAAUUUUGUAUGCAAACACCAGUCAAUUUAGUGCACUUUUUAUAAAAUUCUACAACCAUGUCAAGGUUAACAAACACUGCAUAUUUAUAUAAUGACAUUUAUUCUAGAAGAAUCAAUUAAAAAAUCUUUAGGCAAAUCACCUGUUUAUAAAUAAAUACCGAUUUUAUACACCUGGAAACGUGCAAGUUUUACUCUAAUAACCUCCCUUUAAUAUGACUCUCUUACGAAAGGAGGUAAAAACGGCAUUUUGUUUACAUUGUUUACAUCCAAUAUUUCAACGGAGCUGAAGUGAGACGACUAUGGAUUUUAGCUUCUGGAUUAUAGAAGUGUUAAUUUAGUUCAUAAUCAUGACAACUUAGUGGGUUGUAAACAAAAAAUGUGUCACAUGCAAGUCAAAUGAAUCAACUCAAAUGAGGAUGGACACAAAAAUCUACCAUGUCUACACAAAAAUUGAAAUAUUCACACCAGACAGAUCAGAGACAAUGCUUGAAAUAUUUAAAUUUUGCAAAAAAGAGGGUGAAUGUGAAAUUGCGAAAAAACAGACCAACAAAUGCAACGAAUUAAAAGUAAAGUUGACAAGGAAUGAUGUUCUUUAGCAGAAUUUCUUUCAUCCUUGAAGAUAAACAGCUAUGUUAGCCACUUUGUUCCACAGAGAAAAAGAGCUGGCUUUCAACUAAAACUGAAAAUCCUAUUAAAUAGAAUUCAAAAACUAUAUAUAAUUAUAUAUAGGAAUAUUUGGGUUAAAUACAAAUGUAAAAAAAGUAUUUCUGAACUAUUUCCAAGCAAAUGUAUGCCUGACUUAUACUCAGUGUCUACUUUUGAAAAUAAAAUGUGUUCAUUUGUCAAUUCUGAUGCAUAAUGAUUUAUUACCACUUGAUCAUUUGAAUUGUUGAAUUAUUUUCAUUGAAAAUUAUUACAUCUUGAAUACAUGUACAAGAAAAUGAAUGAUGGUAAAAAAUAAAGUUGAUAUUCAUAAGA